AGGUUGGAUCACAGGAAAGCCUCUGCCAUGGGCAUGUGCUGGCCGAGACAGAUGGGGUUGAACCAGCCCUGUCACUUUGGCCUUGGGCAAGUCACCCGUGCCUUGCUUCCCUUUCCCCAGCAGCCAGAUGGGGAUAAUAGCACCUAUUUCACCUGUACUAAAGUGGUCACUUGUUAGCAGGAACUGAGUGCUGGAGGAGGUGCAGACAGAGCCAUCGAGGCAGCACUGCAGCUGGACCUGGGUGUGAGUCCCUGCUCCUGGCUGUGAGAUGUGUGUCUCCCUCUGUUUAUUCAUCUGAAGGAUAGGGCUGUGCUGUUCUGGGGUCACUGUGACAAUUCAACUGGCCUGUGUGAGUUGGUGGUGGCCUCCUGAGAUGGUUUGAGGCCUCAUAAAAGCCUGAAACAGCCUGGCUUGUAGUGGGCCAGGAGACCAAAACUUGAAGGCAGAGUGACAGAGUGAAGACAGAGAGACCACCUAGUCAGCCUCAGCCCCAGGACUGUGUCCAUGCUGGUCCUGGCUCCAGUGACCCAGUUGUCUCCUGAGACGCCUAAGUACAGAGGAACCUGAUGCCAGCCGCAGUCAACCCUGAUGUGAUGAUCUGUCCACCAACCCUCUUUGAUGUCUUGGUGCUGGCUGCUGUCUUUGGCCAGGUCAUGGGUUCAAAGACCAUUCCUGGAUUCCACCACUGCCAAGCGUCAAUGGUCACAGGAGCUGCUUGGGCUUUCUGGGUUAAGACCCUUGCCUAUCCCUGUGUCCCCCCCUGCAGUAGGGGGGCUGCAGGGGUCAGCCUCAGUCUCUGCCCUGGGAGCCUGCCUUACCUUGCCCUGGCAGCCCCACACCUGCCCUGGAAGACCCCCCACACCCACUGGCUCUGA
RNAcentral lists this long non-coding RNA (875 nucleotides) under Macaca mulatta (Rhesus monkey). RNAcentral describes it as "lncRNA (ENSMMUG00000059627.1)". The record is from RNAcentral. Lineage: Eukaryota; Metazoa; Chordata; Mammalia; Primates; Cercopithecidae.